UGAAAAGAAAAUUGGAGAGAGAGUCAAAGAGACCGAGAAACACUUGGGAGGGAAACGAACGUGGCCGUGAAGGCUCCUUUCGGGUUCAGGGAGCCCUGGACUGGGCGUUUGCGAAGUGUGAGACUCGAACCGGGCUCCACUGCCGCAAGCCCUUCCGGGCUUCCGCAUUCCCGUCUGGAGCCCGCCAACGGCGGGCGUUCGCGGUCGAAGAGGGCUGGGGGGAGGUGCCUCCUUGCCGUUCUCGGCGAGGAGAACGUACAGCCUCCGGUCCGGCGUGACCGCGAACGGCCGAGGAGAGUUGCGACCUGUCGCACGGCGUAGCGCAGGCUCCGCAGGGGCCGGGUCGCUCCUGUACUUGCGUGCUCCGAGCCGAGCCACUGCCAGCAGUGACCGGCGACGGCUAGCGCACUUGUGCGGGAGACGGACCACGAUUGCGCUUCGGUCGUGAGCGUGCGUACGGCUCCGUCCGACCCGUCUGAAAACACGGA
RNAcentral lists this ribosomal RNA (488 nucleotides) under Sollasella moretonensis. RNAcentral describes it as "eukaryotic LSU rRNA". Lineage: Eukaryota; Metazoa; Porifera; Demospongiae; Axinellida; Raspailiidae. The record is from RNAcentral.